RNAcentral lists this transfer RNA (64 nucleotides) under marine eukaryotic metagenome. It matches the Rfam family "tRNA". From Rfam's summary of the family: Transfer RNA (tRNA) molecules are approximately 80 nucleotides in length. Their secondary structure includes four short double-helical elements and three loops (D, anti-codon, and T loops). The record is from RNAcentral.
CCUAUAGCAUAAUGGUAAUGCUCCAGCUUCCCAAGCUGGCUACGGGGGUUCGAUUCCCCCUAGG